Molecule: long non-coding RNA, 657 nt
Filed under: Malus domestica (apple)
Lineage: Eukaryota; Viridiplantae; Streptophyta; Magnoliopsida; Rosales; Rosaceae
Description: long non-coding RNA (MDOM_LNC008582)
Source: RNAcentral
CAACUCCCUCGACCGGAGUUUUGGGCUACCACUUAUAACAAUUCCUAUAUAUGUCAACCUUCAUCCUCCACAGCCAGGCAUACCUGUAAAUAAAAAAAAUGCUCAACUUUUAUUCACAUCCGAGAGGGCAUUCCCAGUAGAGUCUCUCAAAAUACUCAAUUUUUUUCCCUUCCGAUAAUACCUAUGCAAACAAGCCACACCAGAGCAAGAGUAUCUCAUAUCAUCAGGGUUAAAAGCAAGAUUAUCCCAUAUCAUGCUUUUUCCCUGUCUUUUCCUUUGCCCUUGCUCUUACCUAUAGGACAAGGAGAAAAAACACAAUCAGUCGGAACCUGAAAUCAAACUUCCGAUCUGGAACUGAUUGCCCAGAAUCUUUGCAUGAUUGUUUGCCUAACAUUGCUCUCGAGUACUCAUCCUCAACUGUUAUCAAGGUCACGAAAUCCUUCGGCAAAUACCUCAGAAUAGUUGAUAUAAUAUUAACGCUUUACACUAAAACUGCCAAGCAUGGAUGAGUCGCUGAGAAGUAGUGCUCUAAAGGACCAUUUAAAUGCAAAGGUUGCAUUCCACUCCUGCAUCGGGGAUAAAUGCUAUAAAAGAUUGAAGCAGAAGGAUCAAUUAUGAGCUGGAAUAACACGAUGCCCUUCCUGCAGAACCAUACAA